Acanthosepion pharaonis is the source of this 109-nucleotide non-coding RNA. NCBI's taxonomy places the organism in Eukaryota, Metazoa, Mollusca, Cephalopoda, Sepiida, Sepiidae. The record is from the annotation of a GenBank genome assembly.
UGGCUAUAUCAUAGUGAAACACUGGUUCUCGUACGACCACCGAAAUUAAGCAACGUCGAGCCUGAUCAGCACCGAGAUGGGUAAACACUUGGGAAUACAAGGUGCUGUU